Molecule: long non-coding RNA, 924 nt
Filed under: Papio anubis (olive baboon)
Lineage: Eukaryota; Metazoa; Chordata; Mammalia; Primates; Cercopithecidae
Description: lncRNA (ENSPANG00000037203.1)
Source: RNAcentral
GUUAGCCUUAGAGGUGAAAUUAUUAUUUGAGAUCUCAUGUCCAUGAAGCUUUUCUGCCCUCUGAUAGUUUAUCAUUUUUAUUUAUGGAAUCAUCAUAGUACUCAGCUAGAAAUCUUGGGCUAUACAAUCAUUUCUAGUAUGAAGAUUACUUUUUGAGAUUCAGAAAUGAAAUUUAAGAAAAAUCAGAAAGGAAAACUAAUUUCACUUUGAUGUAUGUGUACAGAUAUAUACGAGUAUCUGAACUUUUAUUUUUCAACUGGAGUAUCAUGGGAUGUUGUGGUAGGUAGAAUUCUAAAAUAGUUCCCACAUCGCCCCUUUCUCUAUGUACACACUCUUCACAAUCUCUAGCACUGUUAAUUUGGUGGCUUUUUUUAAUCCCUUGAUUAAAGUGUUAUAUGGCACAGCUGACUUUAAGAAAGGGAGAUUAUCUCUGUGGGCCUUACUGGAGGGAGUUGCAAUUUGCUAGGACUGAGGCUGACUCUAAGAAGUGAGCACUGGCCCAGUUAACAGUCAGCAAGGAAAUGGGGACCUCAGUCCUUCAACCUGAGACAUCUAAAUUCUGCCAAGAAGAAUGAGCUUGGAAGCAGGUUUUCCCCUAGAGCCUCCAUAUGAGCACUCAGCCAGGCCAAUUUCAGACCUUAGCAGAAAGCCCAGUCACAUCGUGUUGGAUUUUCUACAGAACUACGAGCUAAUAAGUCAGUGGUUGUCAAAGGAGACAAUGCAUCGGUACUGUCUGAAGAACUUUUCAAAUACCUGCUCCUUUCGAGGAUCCAGACACAGGAUAAGAUGAAAAAAUCUCAGAAAAAUUGAACAAAUUGCUAGAGAUCAACCACUACAAAGUGAUGGAACUGGAAUGAGUCCAAAGUUCGUUCAACUCUCACAGAGCCUCUGGGUUAAAGAUGGUUAUGUUUGUAUCAAUUUAGG